AUAUCUUUGGUUUGCCCUUUCAAAAUCUUUCUCCAUCCAACAAUGUAAUCAUCAUCAACAUACAUCCAUAGCUUCUUGUUUUUGUCGUUUCCCUUCUCCCAUUUAGACUCUCUCUAUCUUUUUUAUAUCACCAAAAUUUAAUUCAUUUUUAGAGAAAUUCUCACAAAUUUAAAAGAAAAAAAAAACAAAUAUAUAUUCAUCUAAAUCUUAUUUAGAAUGUUAGAUAACAAUUUAAAUCACUUGAACCGUAUAUAUAUAUAAUAUAACUCUACUGUUUUAAGCAACAAAACAAAACCAAAGUAUAUCGAAAAUAUUCGUAAGAUAUUAUCAUAAUUCGAAACAUAAAUAUAAGAUCAAGUGACAUUUUCAAAAUACGUCUUUUUAAUCACUCAAAUUAAUUAAAUUCAAUUAUAAUUUUUAUACCAUCAAAAUUGAGUGAGAAGAAUUAAAAACAUGAUUCCGACCGUCAGUUUUGAACAUAAUGUCUCGAAAAACUAAUUUUAGCCCUAAAUCUAGGGCACCGUGGUGUGUGUAUUGACCUAUCUCUAUAAUAUAGUUGUUAGAGGAUUAUAUAUAUAUAUAUAUAUAUAUAUAUAUAUUACCUCAAAUGUGUGUUUAAAUUUGAUAUCAUUUGAUGCAACAAUAUAAUAUAUAUAGUAGAGAUGUAUAGUGUCCCCAUCUUGUAGCACGCCCCCAAUAUCCAAUUCCAAUUAGUACUUAACACAAAUCUAUAUUUUAAUUCGAAACCUUACGGCUUACAAUAUCAAGUAAUUAAAUAUUGACAUGUGAGUUUCUUAAAAGCUCAUUUCCUUAUUGGUCGAUAUCACCCCUAAUUGGAAAAAAAGGGAUAAAAGUGCUUCCUUUUAAGCUUAAGAUGCUACCUACGAUUACGGACACCUUGGGAGAUUUAAUUUUAUGUCUUAUGGGAGAAUUUACAGGGCUAAUAAAUUUCUUUCCAUUGAUGAAUGCUUUUUAAAAUUCAAGAACAUGUCAGAUGACAAAUUAAAAAAAAAAAUCUUUAAACAUUUUAAAAUUUGAGACAAUUGAUAAAACAUUUCGACAUUAUUUUGAAAGUUGAGGAAUCUAUUUGACAACUUUUGAAAGUCGUACAAAGUAAUAAAUAGAAAUUGAAAAGUUUAUGAAAUUAAAGUUGUAACUAAUUUAGUUUGGAAACACAUGAAAUGGUGCUAGCAAGUUUGCAAAUUGCAACCUUAGUCACAAAUGAGCAUGCAUUAUCUAGGCUUUUUAGAUUUUGAUGGGAUCGAUAAACUGUAUCUAAAUUUUGUUAUUUUUACAAAUAAUUUUACAUUAAUUGGAUAUUAAAUAUUUAGUAGGAGAUGAGUAUAUCUCCAAAUUGCAUGCAUGCAUGGAUGUGUUUGAAUUACAUUCUUAAACUUUAAAAGUGUAUAGUAGGGAGGUGUGUAUGUGGGGUGGGUGGGUUGCUGUAGUAGUUAGAAUGGAGGAGUGUUUAAGGCGUGCAAAACCCAAAUCCAUAUAUGGCGGCUAUAGCUAUCACCUUGAACUUUGCUUAAUAAAACGCUGUGUGCCGAUUUGUCGCACACACUAAACCAUACAAACAUAUAGCAUUAACUGUGGGGACGACUUGUCGAAUUGCUAAAAGACAAAACAGAGAGGGCCCUCUCUUCUUCUGUGGGUCCCGCAUAAAGUUUAGCUGUUUCGGACACACGUCGGAUGUGGUCCCCACUUAUGGUGGGUUGUCGGCACAUGCCACAUCCCCUCCCGAUUUGUGGGUCCCUUUUCAUACACUUUUUUUUUUUUUUUUUUUCUUAUAAAAUUUUCACAAACCAAAAUAAAUAACUUUCAUUUUUGGGUGUGCUAUGGGACCCCUUUCCAAAUAAAUAAAUCAAUUUAUAUUAAACAAUUUUUUUUUUUAAAAAAAAAUUGUAUUGGAAGGUAGAUUUGAGAAAAGAAAAGGAUUUUUUGAAUGAAAAGAUUUGGGGUAAAAAGUGAGAGUUUGUGUUUUAAGAUUUAGUGUUUCUUUGGCUUAGACUUUUUAAGAAAAAGAUUGAUAACCAAAAGUAGUUUUUAGUCGUUGACCACUUUUUGAAAGAAAGGAAAAAAGAGGGGAAAACAAUAUUAUUAUAUAUGUUUUUUUUUCCUUAAAAAAAGUUCACUAAAUAUUUCACAUUAUCUAUAUAGGUUAAAAUUAACAUAAUAUGGUUUUUAAGAUAGAUAUUUAAUGUGCAUCAUACAAGCUUUCUUUUAGAUUGAAAAUGAAUCACAAUUAAUUUUAAUUUCAAGUAGAAGUGGUUUGGGGUUGGAGUAAGAAUUUGAGAAGAAGAAAGGGAGUUUAGGGGCAUUUGAGUUUGGUGGGUGCGCAUGCAAGUUCAAAUUUAAAAUAGGUUUGCAAUUCUUUUUUGGGUCAUAAUGGAAGAUGCCACACCCACACCCACACCCCCAUCUCACCUAUUCAUCACUCCAUACACAUUUUUGCAUCAUUCCCCCAAACCUAACCCAAUUUCCCCCAACAAUAAUAUUCUUAAUAUCACUAUUAGUUUUUUUUUUUAUAACAUUUAAUUAAUAUCUCUUUCGAGAAAACAUUGUUGCGUGAGUUUUUGAAUAAUGCAUAACCUUUAUGCUCUUAUACCAUGUUAGAUCGUUAACUUAAAUAAGUUGAUAUGUGAAUCUUACAUUUAGUAUUAUAUCCAUAUAUCUAACCUUGUAUUUUCUCUCAUGUACAUACUAUGAUCCCUCUAUACAUCAUACUCUAUCUCGAUUAAACUUUAAGAAAUGAUCAUUGGUAAAGUGUCUUGUAGCAUAUGUAACCGACAAGAAGUAAGUCAUGAGCCACGCGAAAAACCCAUUUGUUUCUCUUGAAUUCCUUCUCAAUGAUCUCUCUCAGUCAAAGGUCUUUGUAUUUGUAUUCUAUGUCUGUUAUAAAAUCAACCAUCAAAGAUAAACAAUUUUUUCAAAAAAACUAAACAAUAGAUAAUCAAACACAAAAAUUUACAUGGUUCACUAAUAGUGCGCAUGUCAUCUACAUUCACAAUCAGAUGUUCGGUUUCAUAUUACAAUUGACACACUUCUUAGGUCAAAAGGCUUAUUCAAUGCACUCAUCUCCCAAGGUAAAAAACAUCUACAAGGCAACAGUACUCUCAAAGAUUGAUUAUUUAUGGCGUAAAUAUGUUAUAUAUAACAAUAAUUAGGGUAAGAGGGAGAAGAAGGUUGUUUUUAUUUGAAAGGAAGAGUGGUUUUGAUGAUGGUGAAGAGAACCAAAUGAAUUAUUGAUCUAAUCUUUGUUGUGUGCUCUCUCUCUCUCUCUCUCUAUAGUCUUAAAUUAAAAGCUAAGAAUUAAUACGAAAACGAAAUGUGAAGUAUAGUAUCACAUUUUUGACGGCACUCAAUAAUCUUCUUCUAAAAGCUCUUUCUUUUUCUAGUUUUCUUUUUUCUUUUUUCUCUUCCUCAUAUACAUAAUUAAACAUAUUAAUUUCCCAACUUUUUAGAAUCAUUAAACUCAUUGCUUAAUUAAUGAAAAAUCUCCUCACUUUAAUUAAUUAACCCAUCAAUUUUAAUUGUUGCCUUUUACUACUAACCCUUCCUUUUUAACCCUAAAUAUAUCAUGUGUGUGUGUGUGUUUUGACCUAUUGGAUCCUAAUUAAAUAAUGUGAUUGUUUUUAUGUUUCUCCUUUGGUGGAUUUUCUUUACAUAUAUAUAUAAUCAAGAGAGGGGACAUGCAUUUUGAUAAUGUUUUUAGGCACGUCUUGCUUUUCUUCUCUUUUUUUUUUCUUUUUUCUUUUCAAAUUAUUCAUAAAUUUAUAUUAUUUUUGUGACCUUUUUAAUUUACUUUUGUUAGGAAUAGACAAACAUAUGUUGUCCCUCUGAACUUAGGUUCCUUUCAUGGAUUUGUACUGUUCCUUCAUCACCUUGUCUCUCUUCCUCUCUCUCUCUCUCUCUCUCUCUCUUUCUUUCAAAAGGCCAUACACUUAUACUCUAUUUCAUUAUUCAUUCUUCUUUCUUUUGUUCUUUUCCUUUUACUUUAAAUCACACACAUAUAUAUGUACUAAUAAUUAUUUAUGUCUCGUUUCUUAUUUUGGACUCUUGAUUCUCUACUACUACUUGCCUUCUUUAUUUACAUCUUAACAUUUUGUAUCCAUUGCUAGUUUAAGAGUCUACAAUCAAUCCGAACAUGGUUUCAUUGGUAUAUGCAGUGUGUUUAAUAAUCAUGAACUAGGUGUGUUUUGAAAUUGAUUAUAGAAAAAAUCAAUCUAAUACUACUCUUUUAUUUAGGGCAUGUAUCAAAUAAAUAAAUUAGAUCAUGAUUGUAUUAAUUAAAACUAUAAACGAUUAUAUCAAUUUAGAUCGGCAAAUUACAAAUUUUUUUAAAUUCGUCAUGCAUGUCAUGAAUGUCAUCACAUGAGAGAAAAACGAAAAAUGUCAAAUAGAUAUACAACAAAUCCUUUUGAAUAAUUUUGUUGGGUUGAUUUGAGUGAUUCCAAAUGAAAUCAAGUAAAACUAUUUAUAAAUUUAAGUCUAAAUUAAUCCACUAAUAAAAUUCUGUAAAAAUAUAUUCUUAUAUGUAUAGAAAUAACACUUAAAAAGUGUAAAAUCCAAUAUAAAAGACCAAACUUUUAGAAAUUAAAAUAAAAUUUAGGAUAAAUAUCAACUAAUAAUUGUAUAAUUUAAACCAUGAACUCGAAGGUAGUGUUACUAAUAAUUGUAUUAAUUUAAACCUUAAAUUUUAAUAAUAAAGACAUCAAUUUAAACUCGAAAGUUUCAUAUACAUAUGUAUCAAACAAAUCCGUCAACUUUGAUAAGUGUGUCCAAAUAAAACAUAAUAUAGGGUUUAGAUUGACAUAUUUAUAUAGUUUAGAGAAUUUAAAUUGAUGUGUUUUUUAAAGUUAAAAAUUUAAAUUGAUACAAUUGUUAGUUUGAGAUUGAAAUUGAUACAACUCCUAAAGUUCAUAGUUUAAAUUGACGCAAACCCUAAAGUUGAGAGCGGUAUAAAUUGAAAUUUAAUAUUUGAUUUGUUUCUAUUUUAAAUCUUAAUUCAAUUUUAAAUAACACUUUGAUAGAAAAUGUGUUUCCCUCACAUUAUAUAUAUACACACAUAUGGAAAUCUUAAAUUUCAACUUUGUUUUACAACUAGGUGAAAAGUCUCUCUCUCUUAGGGACCAAAAAAAGAGUAGGAAUUAUACAAACUACUUCUAAAAGGCAAAUUUGAUCAUUGUUUUGAGACACAAAAACAUCAAUUAAUCUCUAUUCUAUAACAUUAUAUAUUAUCAAUAAUGUUUGGUGUUUGAACAUCAAUUCUCAUGCAAUUUUAAUAUAUAAACCUAGAUCCAAUUUUCUAGGGCAUUGAUAGAAAAAAGACCGAAUAUAUGUAUAUAUGAUAUUAUCACAUUAAUCAUCACAAAUUUUUCCCCUUCCCACAAGUUGCAACAAUUAAUAAAUUUAAAAUUUUGUAUUCAAAACAAAAAUUAUGGUUAUAUCCAAUAUCAUAACUACACAUCCCACAUUAAAUAAUUACAGUGUAAAUUAGCUGUUGGAUAUUACAAAAACAUGUUUCUGUUGAGAAAUAUAAUUGAGUUUAGUCCAAUUGCCUUUUGAUUAGUGAUUAAUCCAUUUCAAAUUAAUUAAAUUUGGAUUAAUUAAUACUAAUCAAGGAAACUUAAUGGAGUGAUUAGAUUAGUUUACACCCUCCACUUUUGAUCUAAUAUCAAUCAUGUAUAUGAUGGUUUAUGCAUUAUAGAUAUAGAAAGAGAUUAUAUUUUUCUGUUUUUGGAGUUAAUUUUGAAAAAUGAAUCAAAAUAUAAUCAAAUUUUAUAUUUAUUACUCGUAAAUGUACAUAAACUUUUAAUUUAAUAACAUGAAUAGAAGUUUAAUAUUUAUUAAACGUAAAUGUACAUAAACUUCUAAUUUAAUAACAUGAAUAGAAGUUUAAUUAUGUAUAGAAUUUAAAAUUUUAUUAUAUUUGGAUGAUUAUUCUCAAUAAUAGUUUUGUUAUUUACAAUAUUUUUUUCUUAUCAUCAUCUCUUCUAUAUAUAUUUGUUUUCACUUCAUUAUAAUGCUCACAAUGAUUAUAUUCUUUGGUUGCCUCAUCCGCAUGCUCUCUCUAACCCUAAUUCCCAUUAUUCUCUCCACCUAUAAAUUUCCCCUUCUUCUCCCUUCUCACCUUAUAAUUUUCCCUUUUUUCUAUUACAAACUCCAUAUUUCUGAUCAUUUCACACACUUUCGAUUAUGGCCGGUUUCGAAGGGUUCGAAAAGCGAUUAGAACUCCAUUUCUCCGGCGAUGACCCGAUUUUCUUCAACAUGGGGCUCCGCCAGCUUAGCUUUGAUUCCCUACAACAAGUCCUACGUGAAGUCCAAUGCACCGUCGUCUCCGCCGUCGCUAACCAUUACUUUGACGCUUACGUUUUGUCGGAAUCAAGCCUUUUCGUUUACCCAACUAAAAUCAUCAUCAAAACCUGUGGGACUACUCAACUACUCAAAUCCAUCCCUCCAUUAAUCCACCACGCCCUUAAUCUCCACCUAACACUUGUCUCUUGUCGUUACACUCGCGGUAACUUUAUCUUCCCUCUCUCUCAGCCUUUCCCUCACACUUCCUUCCACGAAGAAGUCGUUUACUUAGAAAACUCCCUCCCUAACCACCUCUGUUUCCGUAAGGCCUCCGUUAUGCCUUCCAAUCUUUUGCCUUCACAUGCUUGGCACGUCUUCUCUGCUUGUGAUGAAACUCGUUUGGUUCAUUUUGAUUCCGGGUUUUACACGGUUGAGGUUUGUAUGACCGACCUUGAUCGCAGUUUGGCUAAGAAGUUUUUCCGACGUCCUGGUGAUGGAAAAUCCGCCGAUGCUGCUGGUAAAGAGAUGACCGAGAUUUCUGGUAUUAAUAAGAUUAAUCCCAAUGCUCUUGUUUGUGAUUUUGCUUUUGAUCCUUGUGGUUAUUCCAUGAAUGGAAUCGACGGUGAUCGAUAUUCCACCAUCCAUGUUACUCCGGAGGAUGGGUAUAGUUAUGCCAGUUUUGAAUGUGUUGGUUCCAUUUACGACGGUGAUGAUUUUGUUCGGACGUUGAAGAGAGCCGUCCAGGUAUUUCGACCAGGGAAAGUGUCAGUGUCGACCACUACGGCCACAUCGCAUCGGGUUUGGGCGAGGGUGGCCGGAGCACUGGAGCCACUUGGGUUGAAAUGCCGGAGUUGUACGGUGGACGAAUUUCCGGCAGUGGGGAACGUUGUGUUCCAGACGUUUACGACCCGCCGGAAAAAAACAGGGGAAUGCGGCGGCGGACGGUAGAUAUUAAAAAAGAAAAUCUCUAGUCAGGGAAAGUUAGAAUAUGAUGAUAGGCCACGUGGCAAAAGUGAAAACUAUGAUGUUGAUGUGGAGGAAUUCAAUUGGUUAAUGAGAGUGAUGAAAUGUGGGGUUGACUUGUUUUUUCUUUUCUUUUCAAUUUCUUUUUUCUUCUUUCUCUUUUUCAAAUUUAAAAAAAAUAAAAAAAAAAUCUAAAAAUGAGGAGAGAGAUAUAGGGAUGGUGACGUGGAGUACCAAGAAGUUUGGGGGAUUUGAAAAAACAAAAAACAAAAAACAGAAAAACAGAAAAACAGAAAGAUCAUAAAUAUAAUGAUAAUGCACCCCACUUAGGGUUGUCACGCCUAAGGAUUUUUUGAAGCAUUUUGUGUAGUAGUGGAGAAAAAAAUAUAUAUAUUGAGAUUCAAAGUGCAAACCAAGUACUCCUUCUACUUCAUCAACCCUUAUAUCAACUUUUUUUUUCUCCUCUCUUCAUCCUUUAUGUAAUUUUCCCUAUUUUAAUUUCUAGCUAUCUUUAUUCAAUAGCGAUUACAAUUAAUAAAACUCUUAGCUUCUUCUUUGAGUUCCAAGGUUGAUUCGAGGCAUCCAAAAAGUGUAACAAGUUCAUUUUUGACUUUUUAGUGGAAUGCAUGUAUAUGCCAAAAUCAGUUUAAUUAGCAAUAUUUUGAUAGGGCAAAAGCUAGCUUACAACACUCUCCUUCUGCUUUGUCUAUCAACUAAUUUUUCUCUUCUCAUUUAUCUAAUUUUCUCUUCUAAUGUCUAGUGUAAAUUCAAUUCACAGACACUACAAAAUAACUAAAACUGACUAGAUCUUUUUUUUGAUUUCGAGGAUGAAAAAAUUCAAAGAUUUAAUCUUUUUAAACGUUAAAUUAAGUUGAUUAACAAAACAAGAUCACUCGAGAGAUGUCUGCACGGUGAUCUUAACAAGAUAAGAAAGGGCAGAGACAUAAUUUAAUUAAUUUGUAUUUUUGUUGUGAUGUAAUAUAAAGUUAAAAAGAAAAGUGAUUAUAUGUAUAUAUUAAUCAGGAUAUAGUGUUGUUGUUUAGGAAUGGAUGAUGAGUUUGAAAAUGUUAGGAUGAUGAAGGCUGGCGUGGAAGGCACCCAGAUAAGGCAGCAGCAAAGCAAUAAGACCACAUGAUGAUAAUUUGAAAGAGAGAGAGGGACACUAUAGUAAAUUUAUACAUAUAAUUGGUUUCCCCUUUCACACAUUUUAUCAAACAGAUUCUGCACGUGCCCAUUAUGCCCAUUAUGCCCAUUAUGCCCCUUUCUAAAUGCCUUCUCCACUUCCUCUCUUAUAUGGCCUUCCCACCCAUUCCUAUUACCCAAUACCCCUAAUUAAUUUCCUCCAAAUAUAUCCCUACAUCAACAACAAUAUUCAUUCCUUUACAAUAAUUCUACCGCUCUUUCCACUAUUCUGUGUCCUUUAUUUUUCCCAAACAAGUUGAUAUUCUUCUCUGAAUUUGAAUUAGAAUCCUAUAUGGCAUAUUAGUGGAAGUAAGAAAUCAAAAUUAAUUAAUAAACCUAAACAUACUCCAAACAAAUGGGGUUAAAACAUGCUAUUUAUCUAUUAAAAAAAAUUAGAUUUUGAUUAUCUCAAAUCUCACAUCUUAUUAAUCUAAAUAAAACAUAGUGUUAAUAUUUGGUUUUGGUGAACUUUGUCUUAAUUGUUUUUUCUUUCCAACUACUUCUACGUCGAAUUUGGCAAAAGAAAAAAAAAGAGUCAAACCACUUAUACCCAAACUAGAUAUAGAAAGAGGAAAAUAAUCGAAUGACUUGUGGAAUUUUGAUAUUCGUGGUACGACUAUUUGUAUGUGCAUCAAUGGGUCAGUUUUAGAGGGGGGAAAUCAUUUCCAUGGAUGUAUAAUUUUUUGUUUUGACAUAUUUGUUAGAAGAGAUAGGUUAGUUUUGUCCCCUCACACUCAUAGUGUAGGAGAAAAAGAGAGAAAGGAAAAGGAGGGGUAGGGAGUUGGGAGUUGGGAGAGGAAUCAAAAGCACAAUUUAGAGUGGAGGAUAUUUGGGAAAUGAGAAAUGAGAUUGGCUCAGAGGUUGAAGUUCCAUUUACCUUCCACCUUGUCCUUUUGCUUUUGGACACUCACUCAUAUUUUAUAUUCUUCUAAUAGGAGCAGUCUACCCUUAUAAUAAAUGCAAUCCCCAUAAACCACCAUCCUUUCCUUACCCACUUCCUUACUCAAUCUUUUUAUAUCCAAACACUUCCAAAGCAAACAAACAAAGAAUAGUUGCACUUUCGUUCUCCAACUUUCAAUUUUAAAAUUUCAGGUAGAAAUUGAACCCUAAAUGAUCAAAAUUAUAGCCUUCAAUUUAUAUAAUUGUUACCCAUUUCUACACAUAUGUAAGUUGAGAAAUUUGAUUCUAAGAAAAAAUAUUUCGGCAGACUAUUAUUGCCACAAAUAUAUAGGCCCUUUGUUUGGGCUCAUCAAAUCCCCAAUGGGCCUAAGAAGCCUCAACCACAAUAGCUUUUGGGUCUAACAAUUUCUCAGUAUGAAUGGGCCCUGGCCCGAUAAACAUAAUGCUAAACAACCAUGUAUUUGAGAAAAUAGCGGACAUUAAAAAUAAUUUGAUUUUUAGCCGUAUCUCAUAAAAUACAUUUUUUAUAUAUACUUUUCACUCUAUUUUACUCCUUGAUGGAAUGAAUAUCAUGCUGGUUAGUUACAAUGUAUUUGUUAACUGCAAAAUUAAUAUUACAAUGUAUUUGAUAUCAUUCAAUUUUAUUUUCAAACGAAAUUAAAUAAACGUUUAUUAAAUAAAUAUUUAUUUUAUUUAUUGAUCUCAUAUAACCAAAGUAGAUUCAUGUCUUAAAUUUUAAAAUAAUAUAUUUUACAUAAAGUUAUGCAUUUUAUAUAGUAACAACUUACUUAUGUUUCCUAUAAUUAUGCAUAUACAAUUUUUUUAAUAAAGGGAUUGACCAUAUUAUUAUAUAUAGUUUACACUAUUUAAUUCACAUAAUUAAAUCAUUAAUAAUGUUAUUCCAUGGUAGGUUUUGUUGGAGUGAAUAUUCUAAAUUUUGAAUUUAAAACAAUAUCUUCUACAUAAAAUUAUGCAUUUUAUAUAAUAACAAAUUCAUAUAAUUAGUGUAUCUUUCCAACUUUUAAGCAUUAUUUUAUGAAUUAAAUGUUAGUAUAACGGUAAGAAUAAAAUCAAUUUUCUUUUUUUAUUCUGACUUUUAUUUUGGGUACAAAAGUAUUCGAAUGAACUUGUUUUUAGUUUUGCAAAUUUUUCACUGCAGUUCUAUUUAUUGGUUGCAUUUAUCGUACCCAUGUUUUGGAAUUCCUUGACUUUUAUCGUAUAUCGUUUUUUACAACGGCAAUGCAACGUGUGAAACUUUUUUUUAUGGUAGAUGGAUAGAAUCUUUUCGAUAUAUUGACUACCAUGUGAUUGAUGUAUUUGUCCCAUGUUCAUCUUCAUUUCAAGAAUUCUUAUAGUGCAUUCAAGAUAGAAUUUUUCCAUCCUUACAUAUUUCUGUGUGUUGCAUUACUUUGUAUUGAGAUGGAUGCAAUAGUUCAAAUCUUAUUCGGAUUGGUGAAGACAAGGACGUGUAUUGGCUUAUGUUGAUUAUGUCGAAAUUUUCUAACAAUGAUUUUGUUUUAGUUCUUGAUUCUGCAAUAAAGAGAAUGAUUACCUUCAGAAUUGAACUUCUAAAGGUAUGAGGUGGAGCUUCACACUAUGUUUUUUUUAUUUUAGUUAUUUAGAGGGAAUUUUGUUUAUACCAUUUGUUUUCCAAUUACAGUGUAACGAGUGUUUAUGUUAGUGUACUAAAAUAGUCUAUCAGUGAUACACUUAUGGUUUAUGAUCUACCUGCAAUAAACUUUAAUAAAUUUUGUUAUAUUUGCAACUAUUUGUUUAUAUGAUUCAUAACACUAUUAUUGAACUAUUAUUCAUACAACCUUAUAGAGGAUACUUCAUAUUUUUCAUUAAUAUUCUUUAUUCUAUUAGAUUAAUAAUAGGAUAAAAUAUUCAACCUUAAGAAAAAAAAUUUGUUUCUACUACUCGAACCGAGAUUUUUUAAAAACAUUCUACAUUUUUACUUUUAGACACGUACGGAGCCUAAAGAGUAUAUUUUGAUGGGAGUAUAUGACAUAUUUGUUGACAUUAUUUUUUAAUUAAAGUAGAUAUGAAAGAUUGAAAUGUAUUGAUGAGAAUUGUGCAUAUGGCUUGAUUGGAUGAUGAUAAUAAUAAUACAAAUUUACUGAUCAUAAAGGAUUCAACAAAUCAAAUGGUUGGAAUUAUAGAAUUAGAUUCCCCCAAUAUGGGAAGAGAUGUAGUGGAUUUUGUGAAGUAAAGCUCCACUCAAAUGAUUGUGGUUGAAAAAUAAAACCUUUAAUUCAAAAAGGGGAAGAAAAAAAGAUUUGAGAUUCAGAAUCUUUGUUGAGAUUUUGAUUUUGGAUCAUAUAUUUGGUUUAUCUUUGAGCUAUAAUUUUCCCAUCCAAUAAAUAUUAAUAUAUUUUUCAAAUGGAUAUUUCUCAAUAUUAAUGAUUCAUAAUAAAUAAGUCUGAAGCUAAUCCCACAUCAAGAUUCCUCUCUAGACUGUCUCUUCCAUAAUUGACAUUUCAUUUAAAUUAUUCACUUCUAUUUCAACAACUAACCAAUUUGAUUUGAUAGUGUUAGAAUUUAUACCAACAUUAAUUGAUCAUCACACAAAAUCUUCUUAAAUAAUAGAGGAUAACAACUUUGAUUGUUAAUAAUAUAUAAUCAAUAUGGCCUUUUUCCCCUUAUAACCAUAUUGAUUUUUUUUUCCUAACGUGGAAGGUGUUAGGUGGAUGCUUUCGGAUUAUCUAGCUCGUACUAUUCGUCUUACCGACACAAACAUCAUUCCUAGUAGUUGUGAGGUUAAAAUUCUUGAAGUAAUGACAUUUUGUCACCAUUCACAAAGAGUAGCCCAAGUGAUUCGCUUGGUGGAAACUAAUUGUUUAGAGAUAACCUACAUGUUGAAUAACAUUGUGGGUGAUAUCACUGAAGGUCUUAUCUUUAUUUGAGUUAGUAUUAUGAGGGUAAGUUCAUUCUCUUAUGUUCGUCGGUGUUAUUACGACUUAUGCACUUUUUUGUUUAAAGCUUUAGAGAGAAAUGUCAAUCUUCGUAUUUUUCUUUUAGAAGUUAAAAUGUUGGUAUACUUCAAUUGAAUAAGAAACAUCACAACUUGAGGAAUAUUUGAAUUCAACGAUAUGAGUAUAAUAUGAGCAUUAUUUCAAUUCUGAAGAAAGCAACUUUUUCUUAUUCGAAGGUUAAAAAUGAAAAUUAAGAAUGUGAGGUUUUGUUUAGUGAUAUAUUUUUUUGCUUUAUUAUUUUUUUUUGUUAAAAAUAAAAUUAACAUUUGUAGUCCUUUUUAAAAAAAAAAAAAAAAACAAGGCUAAUAUUUUGGUUUAUACUUGAAAAGAAUAUAUAUAAAUAUAUAUAUAGUAGGUGGGUUAUUGUCCACAAUAGUGUAAGUUUGUUUCUUCCACAAAUUUUACUUGAAGAUGAAUGGGCCAAUAACUAAGGAAGACUCCAAAUUUUCAAACCCUUCAAAAAAAUCCAAAUCUGCCACACAAUUUCAAAGAGAGAGAGAAAAAGAAAAAGAAAAAAAAAACCUCAAUUAUAGACUUUUACUAUUCAAAUGGAAACAAUGACCAAAAUUUGGUCAUAUGAUGCAAUGUCUAUGGGAAGAAAAUUGAAAACACCUUGGAAAUUCCAAGCUUAAAGGUGGCAAAGGAAAGGAAAUGGAAAAGGGAAAAAAAAAGUCAUUUUUGACCUAAGUUUGUGAGUUGUCCAUCGACUUUCAAAUUUUAUCCAAUAUUUGGACCCUAAACUUAAACUAUUGUUGCUAAAAACAACCUAAAAAUAUUAUUAAACUCAUUACUUUUCAUUAUUCAUCAUAUUAGUUAUUUUCUUGCUUGCAACUCAAAUUGCAUCUUUUUACGUUCUUUCUUGUACGUUUGAUGAUACAUCUUCUUUCUCUACCGUAUCAAAACACUUUCUCUAGACUCCUAGUGAGCAAUCAAUCUUUCAUCUAUAUUUCACUUCGAAACAACUAGUGUGAGUAUGAGCGUGUGUAGAUCUAUUCUAAUGAUGUUCAUUUUUACUUGAAAUGUGAUCGAAGUCUAACAUCAACUAGAUAAGAGAAUGAUCAUACAUAUACAAUUAAUAAUGAUUAUCUAAAAGUGAUAAAAAAAAUCGAAAGUUAGGUUGUUUUUUACACCCUUUCUAUUGUGUGAUUCUAUCUUUUACUUGUGUGUCAUUUGCACUAUAUCCUCUUAUAAUACACAAGUAAAGAUCUUAAACUAGUCUAUGUCAAUUCAAACAAACCUCAAAUACUCUAACCUCUAUCUCUUCACAUGUGGUUGGGAGAAGGAAAAAUAAAUUAGUUUUCACAGCUCACGGGCAGCUCUGUUGAAAAAUUUGAAGUAGAGUUAUUUUCCAUUACCAGAAAAAAGAAAUGGUGAGUUUCAAGAUUUUCAAUGUGUGAACAAAUUUUUCUUACUGUUUUUGGGUCAUCUCAAUGUCCAAUCUUGUACCUUUCCUAUGCCCUCUUCUUCUUCUCCUUCUUCUUCUUCUUCUCUUUCUCUGUUUCUCACCGAAAGCCUAACACUGUUUUCGUUAACAUCUAAACCCCACAUUCCUAUCGGCUGCAAAAUUUGUUCUUAGGGUUAAUUUUUCUCGAUUACUUCGCCUUUUCUACCUCCUCGAGCCGUGAUCUUUCUUCAAAAGCAAUUACCCAUUUCCCCUGUUCUGUUGUUUUUGUUCUAAACUUACUGUUGUGAUACACACACACAUAUAUAGUGCUUUCUUUUGCGUCAGGAAGGAUUUCACUCAAAGGAAAAGCAAUCUUUCAUUUGCACAAUCGUUUUCUAAGUGGGGAAAAGGCCUUUUCUCUUUGUUUUCUUACAUAGGUUUUGCUGUUCCUUCUGUCUUAGCCUCUGUUCUUUUGCAUCUUUCUCAACUUUUUUACUCUUCUGAAUAAUAUGGGGUUUUCCUCUCGGAAAGUUGAUGGGGUUUGGUUAGAUUGUGUCAGAAACAUCUGGGUUUUGCUACAAGAGUUGAGUAUUUUAUAGUUCAAUUUCAAUUUGUACUAUUACUUCUUUGAGGACUUUCAUCAAACACCUUGCGGGUAACUUCGAACUUCAAUUUUUUUUUUUUUUUUUGCUUCUUCCAUUUGAGAAAUUAUGGGUUGUAUCCAUACAAAAUGUUGCUGUCGCUACCCAAAAUCGUUGGUUGGAGAAUCUCAAGACUUUCGACAAGGGGUUCCUUACUGUCUUCAAGAUAAGAACACUGUGAUAGAGAAAUCAUUGGAGAUGAUUCCUGUUGCUUCCCACAACUAUCAUUUGGAAUAUUUGGUUCUAGCUCAGCGUGGUUACUACCCUGAAUCUCCUGAUAAAGAAAAUCAAGACAGUUUCUGCAUUAGAACAAACAUUCAAGGUAACCCAAAUGCUCAUUUCUUUGGUGUUUUUGAUGGACAUGGUCAAUUUGGAAUGCAGUGUUCAAACUUUGUGAAAGAUAGACUAAUAGAAAAGCUAUGUAAUGAUCCCACAUUGUUAGAUGAUCCUAUACAAGCUUAUAAUUCAGCAUUUUUGUCUACAAAUGAUGAGUUACAUACAAGUGAGAUUGAUGAUUCCAUGAGUGGAACAACUGCAAUUACAGUUCUUGUUGUUGGGGAUACUCUGUAUGUAGCUAAUGUUGGUGAUUCAAGAGCUGUAAUUGCAGUCAAAGAAGGGAAUUGUGUUCUGGCUAAGGACUUGUCAAAUGAUCAAACACCAUUUAGAAAAGAUGAGUAUGAGAGAGUUAAGCUUUGUGGGGCUAGAGUUUUGAGUGUUGAUCAAGUGGAAGGACUUGUGGAUCCUGAUAUUCAGUGCUGGGGAGACGAAGAAAGUCAAGGCGGCGAUCCACCUCGGCUGUGGGUUCAAAAUGGAUUGUAUCCUGGGACUGCAUUUACUAGGAGUAUUGGUGAUAGUACUGCUGAGAAAAUCGGUGUAAAUGCUGUUCCUGAGGUCUUAGUUCUUCAGCUUAAUCCCAAUCAUCUUUUCUUUGUGGUUGCUAGUGAUGGAGUUUUCGAGUUCCUUUCAAGUCAAACUGUUGUUGAUAUGGUAUGUAAUGUUAUCAAUUUCUAGCUAUAUUUUUCUUUGAUAUUUUCUUCUUGGUCAUGAAUCUUGAUAUCCAGGUUGCCAUGUUGAAGAUUGGUAGAUACAAACCCGUUAGAUAGCUAUUUGGUUUGCUGUUUUUGAAAGACUCUUUUGAUUUCCUCAAAAUCUUUUGGUAACAUUUUCACAAAAGAUGCACCAAAGCCAUCUUUUGGAGAAUGUUAGGAUUUAUUCUCUAUUUUAGAGCUAUUUGCACGAUUUUAUCAAAUUAUAGAGACUAUUUAGAAACGUUUUAUCAAAUCACUAAGACUGAUAUUUAAUUUUUAAAAUUAUAGGAACCAAAUUUGUAAUUUAACCUCUUUUCUUUUUGUUGAAUUUUUGGUUUGGUUUUCUAAAAUGUUUUUAAAAAGUAGGUAAUAAAGUAAAAAAAAAAAUAUAAGUGAAAGUAGGGUUUAUAGAAACAAAAUGAUUAAUAGACAAGCAUACUUUUUAUCUGUUUACUUGUUGCUUCUUACUUUUGAACUGCUGAACUCAAUAGAAACGACUUCUAUUAGCCAAUUUGUGAGCAUAUACGUAAGUUGCGUUAAUAUGUUUUAACCAUAACUACAGAUCUUAACACAAUUUCUAAUGUUUUUUUCCCCUCUAUACAGGCAUCAAGUUAUGCAGAUCCUCAAGAUGCUUGCACUGCCAUUGCUGCCGAGUCGUAUAAACUAUGGAUGGAACAUGAAAAUCGAACCGAUGAUAUAACGAUCAUUGUUGUUCAAAUCAAAGGCUUGUCUAAUGUAUGAAAUUUACAAGAAUUAUUUCGGCUACAUAUUUCUUGCUCUUGAAUGUGAUGAUGAUAUAAUCUUCAACAGCAAAAUGCAGGAUGAUGUUGAACAAAGAAAAGAAAAGAAAAAACAUUUUGUUAUUACAUCUCUGUUAUCCCCUUGAUAUAAACCUACAUUUUGAACAGAAAAUUUAUGAUUCAAUGCUUAGCUUUCUCAUCUCUUAUCAAUUCGUUAGCUUGUAAGCUUGUUCCUCCCUUGUUUGCGUUGUUGGUUUAGUCAGGUGCUGAUAAUAAUCCUUCCAGCAACGGGCUGGAGACUGCUUCUUUGAGAAUUGAUUUCUCAGAUCUACCCACUGAACCGAACACUCAACCUGUUGCUGUGACAAAUCGAAACCCAGCGAUCGUGGUUCCAAUGCUGAAUAAUCAGACAUCUUUAUAACGGUAGUCUCUCUACUAUAAUAACAUAUUACCGCUAAACUUGUUGUUCGAAAUGAUUUAAGUACAUAAGCACUUAGAAAGAAAGUUAAUCUAAACAGAGACCAUUGUUCAUAGUUGUUAAAUGGUUUUAGCUUGUGUAUUCAGACUUCAGUGUUGCUAUAACAUUCCUCCACCAGCAGAAGAGACUUGUAAUGGAUCCUGAAAGGUAAAACUGACUAAAAAGCAUUUUAUAAUCUUAAUUUUUGCUUAGAAGAAUUACCUUUUAGUUUCUGACGUCACUUUGUUUAUACUUUUACAGUUGAAACAAAUACUGAUCUUCCAGCUUAGCAUUGGACCAACUAAGUUGAUAAAGACAGGGAGGUUUGGUGUCUUUGACAUGGAAAAAUGGAUGGAUUGUUCUCUUGUAAAUCCAUGAUAGAGAUUGAGAGAAAAAUCUACAGUUCCCAUUAAAAAGACAAGACAAAGAAAGGGAAUUUAAUGAGGUGGAUUAACUUCAAAGCUCAAUGAUAAACAAGUUUCAGACCCCACUUUGUUACCUUGUCUCUUCAUUUCUGGCUGGCAUGCUAAGGUAGAAUAUGUUGUAAAUAGCAAAAAAAAAAAGAAAAAAAAUUAUAUAUCCUUUUUCUUCUUCUGUUUGCUUAAGAUAGAUCCCACUUCUUGAAAAGUGUCAUGUCAAUGGUUUAGCUUGUUGUGAAGUUAACUUGUGGAUGACUGUCACAAAUUGUUGCUCAGAUGGACCCUCAAUUUUUUCUAUAAUUUCAAAUUUCAAUGUUUUGUGAUUCAAAUUCUCUCAUCCAAAUCACCAACGGUUACUCUCACGUGAUCAUAGUUUAGUAGAAAUUAACACAAAUAUAUUUUUGUUAAAAUUUUAAGAUAGUAAGGUUUGACAAACUAUUGAGAUUUUCGUGCGACCUGUUUGAUUUUUUUUUAUAGUAAUUCCACCCAUCCUAACUUUAACAAAAGGUCAAAACACAAAAAAUCUUGGAUCAUAUCUCGUUUGAGUCUUUGAGAAUAGGUUAGUUGCACACGCUCGAGCAUUUUUUAGUGUAGAAUAAGAAUUUAUUGAAAACAGGCUUAGUUAAACGGUAAUUGACAAAACUUUUAGUUGAUGGAAGGUUCAAUCUGAAAUAAUCUCUACAUAAUGGCAAAGACUUGGAAGAACAGUCAACCUUAUAGAUGUUACAAAAUACAUCUAAACAAGAUAAAACAAAAUCUUAGAUAUUAUUUGUUACAUUAUGCACCUUUGCAGAAUAAUCUUCACUUGCGUUGGCCAGAUUUCCUUCUCUCACUGCAAGACUUCAAAGCUUGAACCUCUACUAGACAAACCAUUAGCAGCGAGGAAAUGGAUUAGGACAGUCAUUUUAUAUGAAAAAUUAAAAAAUUGCACAAUAUAGACAUUAACAUUUCAAAUUGGUAAGAAACAGAAAGAGAUCUUGGCAACCACAAAUAAUUCAAAGAUGAACCUAUGAACAAAAUUAGAAUUCAGAACAAGAAGAAAUGAUCGAAUUGGUGAAAACGAUGGUCAGUGAGAGAUGAACAGUAUACCAGCCUGGCAAGAUUUCCAGUUCCUGUUAGUUUUGAUAAGACAAUCCUGAAAAUUAUAGGGAUGAAGUUAAUAAACAUCAAUUUACAUUUUAGGGCUUAGGGUUUUAGCAGAACGUAAAAAGGUAGAAGACGACGAACAGAACCGCCAAAAAGAAGAACCUGUAAGGAUAAGUAGAAGGAUGAGCAUUCAUUGAGCUGCUUGACGUUCUCGUCUUCAUCGUCAGCAUCACUCCGGUGAAGAGGCGGCUGAUUCUCCGGCGAAAUCGGCGGUUUCCCCAUUUUUUUUCCUUCAGGUUCGACACAAAUUUUAUACGAAAUUCAAACUUCUUAGCGUAAUAAGUUUGAACUGCUCAAAGUUCGCGAUUUAUUAUAGAAUUUCUUCUCUUCUUUUUCAUAUAGAUUAGGGUUUGUAUAUUUGUGCUUAAUUUAGUGUUGCAAUUGCUAACGGAUUUUGAUUUUGAUUCUUCCUUAUUAAUAUAGUUUUUUAAAAAGAGGAAAGGUGGUGUGAAAAAAAGUACUAUCUUUUUCCUUUUUUUUUUUUAUGCAAUUUUUAAAUCUACAUAUUUUCAUUACAAAAGAGAAAUUGUCGAUCACUUUUUAAUAUAGUGUUUGGUGUCCUUUUAAAUAAAAUUUAUGGAUCUCCACUUAUUCAAAAGGAUUGAAUUUUUGCACAAAUAUAAUUAUUAUAGAUCUUAGGAGAAAAAAAAGUUAAAUGAUAGAAAAGGCUGGUAAUUAUUCCAAAAAAGACUAUUAAUUCUGCAACAAAACCGCUCAUACCGGGCAAUGCAAGGGAAGCCAUCGAUAAGAUACUGAAAGUCGUAAAUAUUUUUGGAAUUGGGAUAGCCAGUCCUCCCAUUUCAUCAAGAUAAACCAGACGUAUUCUAUCAUAACUUGUUCCCGCUAAGAAAAAAAGCGCAGCGCCAAUAAAUCCAUGAGAGAUUAUUUGUAAAAUAGCUCCAUUCAGUCCCGUAUCGCUUAUAGAACCAAUUCCUAUAAUUAUGA
This 19077-nucleotide long non-coding RNA is filed under the name Cucumis sativus (cucumber). RNAcentral describes it as "long non-coding RNA (CSAT_LNC002216)". The record is from RNAcentral. Lineage: Eukaryota; Viridiplantae; Streptophyta; Magnoliopsida; Cucurbitales; Cucurbitaceae.